This 98-nucleotide transfer RNA is filed under the name Streptomyces olivaceus. Its description in RNAcentral is "tRNA-Pro". Lineage: Bacteria; Bacillati; Actinomycetota; Actinomycetes; Kitasatosporales; Streptomycetaceae. The record is from RNAcentral.
GGCGCAUGGGGCGAGCUCCGGUGGACAGCCGGUGGACAGACGCCUUUGGACGGGCAUGAACGCUUUCGGUCUCUCGGGUUCGAAUCCCGAAGGCGGCU